UACGGAGGAUCCAAGCGUUAUCCGGAAUUACUGGGCGUAAAGAGUUGCGUAGGUGGCAUAGCAAGCAAAUAGUGAAAUGAUACGGCUCAACCGUAUGUCCAUUAUUUGAACUGCUAAGCUUGAGUAUGAGAGAGGUAGAUGGAAUUUCUAGUGUAGGAGUGAAAUCCGUAGAUAUUAGAAGGAACACCGAUGGCGUAGCAGUCUACUGGCUCAUUACUGACACUAAGGCACGAAAGCGUGGGGAGCGAACGGG
Molecule: ribosomal RNA, 253 nt
Filed under: uncultured bacterium
Lineage: Bacteria
Description: partial 16S ribosomal RNA
Rfam family: Bacterial small subunit ribosomal RNA
Source: RNAcentral